RNAcentral lists this ribosomal RNA (440 nucleotides) under uncultured bacterium. Its description in RNAcentral is "partial 16S ribosomal RNA". It matches the Rfam family "Bacterial small subunit ribosomal RNA", at positions 338 to 795 of the family's 1533-position model. The record is from RNAcentral.
CCUACGGGAGGCAGCAGUGGGGAAUCUUGCACAAUGGGGGAAACCCUGAUGCAGCGACGCCGCGUGAGUGAAGAAGUCAUUCUUGAUGGACAGCUCUAUCAGCAGGGGAGAAAAUCACUGUACGUGAGUGAUAAUGCCCGGCUAACUAGGUUCCAGCAGCCGCGGUAAUACGGAGGGGGCCAGGGUUAUCCGGAUUUACUGGGUGUAAGGGGAGCGUAGACGGCAGUGCAAGUCUGGAGUGAAAGGUGGGGGCUCAACCCCCGGACUGCUGUUGAAACUGUCCGGCUGGAGUGCAGGAGAGGUAAGUGGAAUUCCUAGUGUAGCGGUGAAAUGCGUAGAUAUCAGGAGGAACACCAGUGGCGAAGGCGGCUUACUGGACUGUAACUGACGCUGAGGCUCGAAAGCGUGGGGAGCAAACAGGAUUAGAUACCCGAGUAGUC